RNAcentral lists this long non-coding RNA (377 nucleotides) under Citrus sinensis (sweet orange). Its description in RNAcentral is "long non-coding RNA (CSIN_LNC001588)". Lineage: Eukaryota; Viridiplantae; Streptophyta; Magnoliopsida; Sapindales; Rutaceae. The record is from RNAcentral.
GUCAUUUUACAUUUCAAGUUUUACUAACAACCCUUACUUUUAUGUAUUUAACCUACUUGUGAUUUAAUUACAUAUGUUUUAUUUUAAUUAAGUAUUUUAUGUAUUUUAGGGGCAUUAUAGUCAUUUCACAAUAAACGAGAAAUCAGAUGGCAAAACAGACAUCACUUUUGAACUCAGGACGGUCGAAAACCUUAGGAGGAGCAUAAAAGGAAAAAUGGCACUGUUCACAUGUACGGUACUAUUCACGUGUGGCAUUGACUGAUGAGGUGUCACGAUCCUGUUGGACUAAAAUUCUUAUAUACUGUUGAUGGUGACGUGGCAGCAUAUCAGUGGACGAAAAAUCUCGCAUACGGUGCAUGCAUCACACAGGAUUAUUU